RNAcentral lists this ribosomal RNA (463 nucleotides) under uncultured bacterium. Its description in RNAcentral is "partial 16S ribosomal RNA". It matches the Rfam family "Bacterial small subunit ribosomal RNA", at positions 28 to 507 of the family's 1533-position model. The record is from RNAcentral.
GAUGAACGCUGACAGAAUGCUUAACACAUGCAAGUCGAUGGGGAAGUGGUGCUUGCACCAUGGUAACCAUGGCGGACGGGUGAGUAACGCGUAAGGAACUUACCUGCGGGACCGGGAUAACAGCAGGAAACUGCUGACAAGACCGGAUAAGGUCAUUAAGCUGCAUAGCUUAGUGAUGAAAGGAGACGCCUGCGGAGAGCCUUGCGUCCUAUUAGCUAGUUGGAGGGGUAACGGCCCACCAAGGCGAAGAUAGGUAGCCGGCCUGAGAGGGUGGACGGCCACAAGGGGACUGAGAUACGGCCCUUACUCCUACGGGAGGCAGCAGUGGGGAAUAUUGGACAAUGGGGGCAACCCUGAUCCAGCAAUUCUGUGUGCACGAAGACGGUUUUCGGAUUGUAAAGUGCUUUCAGCAGGGAAGAAGGAAGUGACGGUACCUGCGGAAGAAGCGACGGCUAAAUACGUG